Long non-coding RNA from Oncorhynchus keta (chum salmon), 414 nucleotides. RefSeq lists it as uncharacterized. NCBI's taxonomy places the organism in Eukaryota, Metazoa, Chordata, Actinopteri, Salmoniformes, Salmonidae. The record is from RefSeq and is a predicted model, not a curated record. The transcript is spliced from 4 exons.
GCCUGGUUCCUCUCUAGGUUUAUAAUCUCCACCCGGCACAGCCAGAAGAGGACUGGCCACCCCUCAGAGCCUGGUUCCUCUCUAGGUUUAUAAUCUCCACCCGGCACAGCCAGAAGAGGACUGGCCACCCCUCAGAGCCUGGUUCCUCUCUAGGUUUAUAAUCUCCACCCGGCACAGCCAGAAGAGGACUGGCCACCCCUCAGAGCCUGGUUCCUCUCUAGGUUUAUAAUCUCCACCCGGCACAGCCAGAAGAGGACUGGCCACCCCUCAGAGCCUGGUUCCUCUCUAGGUUUAUAAUCUCCACCCGGCACAGCCAGAAGAGGACUGGCCACCCCUCAGAGCCUGGUUCCUCUCUAGGUUUAUAAUCUCCACCCGGCACAGCCAGAAGAGGACUGGCCACCCCUCAGAGCCUGG